Molecule: ribosomal RNA, 253 nt
Filed under: uncultured bacterium
Lineage: Bacteria
Description: partial 16S ribosomal RNA
Rfam family: Bacterial small subunit ribosomal RNA
Source: RNAcentral
UACAGAGGUGGCAAGCGUUGUUCGGAAUUACUGGGCGUAAAGGGCGCGUAGGCGGUUCGUUAAGUCCUGUGUGAAAUCCCCCGGCUCAACUGGGGAACUGCACAGGAAACUAGCGGGCUUGAGUUCGGGAGAGGGAAGCGGAAUUCCAGGUGUAGCGGUGAAAUGCGUAGAUAUCUGGAGGAACACCGGUGGCGAAGGCGGCAUCCUGGACCGGCAUUGACGCUGAGGAGCGAAAGCCAGGGGAGCAAACGGG